GUGAGGAAUAUUGGUCAAUGGACAGAAGUCUGAACCAGCCAAGUAGCGUGCAGGAUGACGGCCCUAUGGGUUGUAAACUGCUUUUAUGCGGGGGUAAAGUGAGUGACGUGUCAUUCAUUGCAAGUACCGCAAGAAUAAGGACCGGCUAAUUCCGUGCCAGCAGCCGCGGUAAUACGGAAGGUCCUGGUGUUAUCCGGAUUUAUUGGGUUUAAAGGGAGCGUAGGCCGUCAGGCAAGCGUGUUGUGAAAUGUCGUGGCUCAACCAUGGACUUGCAGCGCGAACUGCCAGACUUGAGUGAGCGGAAAGCAGGCGGAAUUUGUGGUGUAGCGGUGAAAUGCUAAGAUAUCACGAAGAACCCCGAUUGCGAAGGCAGCCUGCUGUAGCGCUACUGACGCUGAAGCUCGAAAGUGCGGGUAUCGAACAGGAUUAGAAACCCCUGUAGUCC
Molecule: ribosomal RNA, 445 nt
Filed under: uncultured bacterium
Lineage: Bacteria
Description: partial 16S ribosomal RNA
Rfam family: Bacterial small subunit ribosomal RNA
Source: RNAcentral